Molecule: transfer RNA, 82 nt
Filed under: Candidatus Lloydbacteria bacterium RIFCSPHIGHO2_02_FULL_50_13
Lineage: Bacteria; Candidatus Lloydiibacteriota
Description: tRNA-Leu
Rfam family: tRNA
About the family: Transfer RNA (tRNA) molecules are approximately 80 nucleotides in length. Their secondary structure includes four short double-helical elements and three loops (D, anti-codon, and T loops). Further hydrogen bonds mediate the characteristic L-shaped molecular structure. tRNAs have two regions of fundamental functional importance: the anti-codon, which is responsible for specific mRNA codon recognition, and the 3' end, to which the tRNAs corresponding amino acid is attached (by aminoacyl-tRNA synthetases). tRNAs cope with the degeneracy of the genetic code in two manners: having more than one tRNA (with a specific anti-codon) for a particular amino acid; and 'wobble' base-pairing, i.e. permitting non-standard base-pairing at the 3rd anti-codon position.
Source: RNAcentral
GGGUAGGUGGCGAAAUUGGCAGACGCGCUAGCUUUAGGAGCUAGUCCCGCAAGGGGUGCGAGUUCAAGUCUCGCCCUACCCA